UGCGUAGGUGGUAUGGUAAGUUAUCUGUGAAAUCCCUGGGCUUAACCUGGGCAGGUCAGAUAAGACUGCGAUACUUGAGUGAGGGAGAGGGUAGUGGAAUUUCCGGUGUAGCGGUGAAAUGCGUAGAGAUCGGAAGGAACACCAGUGGCGAAGGCGGCUACCUGGCCUAACACUGACACUGAAGCACGAAAGCGUGGGGAGCAAACAGGAUUAGAUACCCUGGUAGUCCACGCUGUAAACGAUGUCAACUAGCUGUUGGUCAUAUGAAUGUGAUUAGUGGCGCAGCAAACGCGAUAAGUUGACCGCCUGGGGAGUACGGUCGCAAGAUUAAA
Molecule: ribosomal RNA, 332 nt
Filed under: uncultured bacterium
Lineage: Bacteria
Description: bacterial SSU rRNA
Rfam family: Bacterial small subunit ribosomal RNA
Source: RNAcentral